GGGUUUUCAGAGCGGAGGUGGGGGCUCCCGGCAGGGGAAGUUAGAGCCGAGGGAGCGGCAGGAGCACGUGGGCUGAGUGGGGGUGGGAGGACGCAGACGGCGGAGUAACCGGUGGAAGUGUCAAAGAGGAAGGAGUGGAGGGCUGCUGAGGUGACAGGGUGUGGUCUGUGAGGGAGCGGGCGAACCCGGAGAGGAGAGCAGAGAGACCCACCAGGACUAGGAGGCAGCGGGGAGCGUGCCUGCGUCGCUCGGAGCGGUGACAGCAAGGAGCGCAGCGCGGGGGCCGGGCGGCAAGGGGAGUUUCCAGUCCUCGAUAAGUGGAGUCCCUGCUCUGAGCUGCGCCAGCGCCUUCCGCCUGGGCCCGCGGUGCCAGACACCUGCCGAGUCCGAAGCGGGAGUCCGGCUGAGCCUUCGGCCCCCAAGAGACACCGUAAGAACCACAGAGUGUUAAACUUGGGGCUUGGAAAUCAGAGUCUGUCCCUGAAUUUCACAAAGGAAACGACUGACAUCAAAAGAAGGCAAGGAUCUCCAACCUGAGCAUAUGCCAGCUGACAUGGGAACACUGAGGCCAGCAAUUUAAGGAUUUCACAUUUGCUUGCAGUGGUAAGAUUUAAAUAUAUAACAACGAAGGGCAUUAAAUAUUACUGGGUUCUGGCUUUUUCCAUUAGAUGCGAAAGUGAGGUUGUUUAGGUGUAUCUUUUUUGAUCAGUAAAGAUCUCUACUUGCAAAACCAAUGCAAACACAAGAUAAAUCCAUAAUCCAUAAAUAUUGAACAUAGUGUUUGUUGGUAUGAGUGAAAAUAGGAAAACUAAUAAUUAGAUUUUUUAAGUGUCUGCAUCAUUGGACUAAGUGGAGGAAAUGGUUUCCAUGUUGAACAACGAAACUGUGUAUUCAGAAGAGAUAUGAUUGUACAGCACAAAGGGACACACAGUUAAAGAUCAAUGGGGAGAAAGAAAGGGAAAGUGACUCUGUUUUCAAUUCUGCAUGGGGCAGUCAUACCCUUAACACGGGUCCAGAUAUUUGGUUUCUAAAACAACCACAUUUGCAGUUAGCUAGGAGAUUGUGUAAAAAUGAAGAUUCUGUAAGCCGAUGACAGUGUACCUCCACACACUGGACACUUGCUGCCAUCCGAGACAUCUGUACGCCAUUACUUAAAAAGAGAGUGAUAAUGGUGACUGUUGACAGACGGAUGGCAAAUUGUGUUACUGGAAGAUCAUUUUGAAAAGGGAAGUCUCCCACUCCUCUGUGUGUAUGUGCAUUUAUAUAUAUGUGUGGACAAACACACAUAUACUCUCUCCCUUAAAUCUGAGGCCAAAAUGUAAUACUGAAAAAAGUAAUUAAAAUUUACAUUCUUAAUAAAAGAGAGCACCAUCUUUGGACACAUUUUCAAUAUAAAGUAGAAACUGCACCAUGAUAGGGUUAAAUAGUCUAACAAGAUCAUCUAGGCCUCGGUGGAUUCUUUGGACCCUGUGUUGUUUAAUUUAAUAGGUUAAAUUAAAAAAUAAUACACGUUCCAUUACCAUCUUCCUUUAAGCCAGAUCUUCAUGGAGUAAACCUAUAUUUGGCACAUUCAAUUCUUUGAGAGCUACCAUUUUAAUAUAUUUUCUUUCUGUCUGUCUUUUUUUCUUUUUUCUUUUUUUUUUUUUUUUUGAGACAGAGUCUUGCUCUGUCAGCCAGGCUGGAGUGCAGAGACAUAAUUACAGUUCACUGAAGGCUUGAACUCCUAGACUCAAAGGAUCAUCCCACCUCAGCCUCCUGAGUAGCUAGGACUACAGGCAAACACCACUGUGCCAUCCUAAUUAAAAAAAAUUAUAGAGAUAGGAUAUCACUGUGUUGCCCAUGCUGGUCUUGAACUCCUGGCCUCAAGUGAUCCUCUUGCCUUGGUCUCCCAAAGUGCUGGGAUUACAGGGGUGAGCCACUGCAUUCAGCCACUAAUAAAGUUUCUAUAUAUUUCUUAGUCCCAAUUUUCAUGUGGUCUUAUUGCAGAUCCAUGGUGCAUUGAGUAAAAUGUGACUUUGAGAAGCCUGAUUUGCUCAUUCUUGUGUGCUGACCGUGGUGUUACAUCUGUGAAUUUCUGAAGGAUAUAUUUUAGAAAUUCAGCAUUCUUAUUUAGUCCUCUUAGUAUAUUCUUUUCAAAUUGCCUCGCUGCUUUAUUCAGUCAUAUUAUUGCAGUAACUUUUAGUUUAACAGCUUGUAUUCUCAAAAUCUAUUUAUGGAACAAUGGAAGAAUGAUUGUAAAAUAGCUUGGAAGAUGCAUUACUUAAACUGAUACCUGGAAGUGAUGAUAUAACUUCACACUUUUAUGCAUAUAAAAGUAAAUGAAUGUAUCAUUAUGGUUUAUUUUAUCUGAAUAUUACAUUCCCCUUGAAAAUUAAAUAACUUUGCACUUGAGUUUCAUGUUUUAUUUCAUGAUUUAGAAGUGCUUUCUAGGAACUACCACCAAAACCUAACUUCCAUACGUAAGUCAUGGUUUCCUCAUAUGUGCAUGGAGUUUAAGAUAACAUCCUAAUUAGAGUCAUUAAAUCUUUGAUGUCAGAAGGGGCUGAGUUAAACUGAACAGGGCUUUUAAAAAUCCCCAAAGCUGAGCAAUGUGAGGAGGAAAACAAAGUAAGAGAAACACGCAUAUGAUUGGCCUUAAUGAUAUUAUAAGCCUAUAAGAAAGUGGCCUACAGCUCACAUCUGGACCACAGAACUCAUCAUUUCAUCUGAACCUGUGUGUAUCAAAUUGUGCUUUUUGUUAUCAAAAGUGAAAGCCUGCAAAAAAAAAUAAACUAAACUAAACUAAAAUAAAAUCCAAUAGACCAUGCUAAAUUGAGUUGCAUCAUUUAGAAAGUGGGAAGAUUUUCUUAGAACUAGCCUUGGAGCUUCUUGUCUCUGUAGAGAACCAAGGACCAUACAGAAUACUGUCCCACUUCUGCAUAUGAGGACACUGUUGAACAGAUAGACUUGUUUGAGAAAUAAUAUAAUCAUGUAGAGUGACAGAGUAGAAAAGCACUAAUGUAGACACCAAUGUACCACAAUCUUACCACAAUGUACCACAGCAAAAACCAUACCUGAUUUUGCUGGAUAAGAUUUUUUUUCUUUUGUCUCUAAGAUUUUAAAUAGCCUCUAAAUGUCAGUCCUUAGUUUUUAAUUUGUAAAAGGGGUUUACUACUUACUCUAUUCUCUGCAGACUUAGCUGGAGAUAAAAUAAUAAGUAAAAAAUACUUUGUGGAACUUAAAAUCACUACACAGAAUUUAGUAUUGCUAGAAAGUUGAUUCCUUGUUAAUAGCGCUUGUCUGAUUUGAACAUUAGGUCAGAAAAGCAUCUUCAUCGAUCUGGUCUAUGUUUUCACACUGAAUGAAGGCUUACAGUUGCUCUGAGCUCUAAUACACUUGACUGUUCUUAUUAAAUUAUGAUAACAAAAUGCAAUCAUUAUAACUUUCCCUGAAUUGUAUGUGUAUCUAUUUUUAGUGUUGUUGAUGCACUGAUCGAAAUUUCAGUGUUCUAAAAUUACUCCAAAUGAGAGCAUGGGAGAGUACAGAGGAAAUGUUUACGAUACAAUCCCUGUCAGUAAGGGGAGUGGAAGGGGUCUCUGGGGCUCGUCCUUGUGGUAAAGCCGUCUUUCUCAGACCUCCUUUCCUCUAAUUCUUUUCAGAUGCAGACUUCCUACCAUAGCAAACCCUGUGUAUCUUCCUGCCCCUUCUCCUCCUCUCUACCCGCUCCUGUCUCCUUUCUCCUCUCCUUCACACCUCAGAAAGUCCUUUGAUUGUUUACAAUCCAGGUUUUUUUUAGCUAUUGACCCACAGCCUUCUGCUUCCAUAAAUCCUGCUUUAAGUGUUUGAUCUGUAAGACAAAUAUACCCCCAUAGCCCUGAGUUUACUCUCUGACUCUGUUUCAUUACAAAUGUUGUAGACAAUCAAUAUGAGUUAGGGGUGGGGGGAAAUGUCUUAGGUCAACAAACACAAUUUGCUGGAACAUACCAUAAUCUUUGCCCUUGCAAAGAACUGUUGAUCACAUGUCCUUUAAGAAUAAAGCCAAGUUGUUGGAAAAUGUAACUUAAAUUAAAUACACAGGAAAUUCCAACAAUUACACAUGACAUAAAAAAUCUUUCAGAGCUCCCAGUUCAUGUACUAAUGUUAGAAGCAAUCAAGGACUAUGAAUAAUGGAUGAAGUUAAACAUAGUGGCCCAAAUUUUUAUCCAGAGUGCUAGAGAAGAACGUUAACAUAAUGGAUGUGGG
Molecule: long non-coding RNA, 4221 nt
Filed under: Macaca mulatta (Rhesus monkey)
Lineage: Eukaryota; Metazoa; Chordata; Mammalia; Primates; Cercopithecidae
Description: lncRNA (ENSMMUG00000059451.1)
Source: RNAcentral